Oncorhynchus keta (chum salmon) is the source of this 397-nucleotide long non-coding RNA. RefSeq lists it as uncharacterized. The record is from RefSeq and is a predicted model, not a curated record. Lineage: Eukaryota; Metazoa; Chordata; Actinopteri; Salmoniformes; Salmonidae. The transcript is spliced from 3 exons.
GUUAGAGUGUAGAGGUGGCAGGGUAGCCUAGUGGUUAGAGUGUAGAGCUGGCAGGGUAGCCUAGUGGUUAGAGUGUAGAGCUGGCAGGGUAGCCUAGUGGUUAGAGUGUAGAGCUGGCAGGGUAGCCUAGUGGUUAGAGUGUAGAGCUGGCAGGUAGCCUAGUGGUUAGAGUGUAGAGGUGGCAGGUAGCCUAGUGGUUAGAGUGUAGAGGUGGCAGGUAGCCUAGUGGUUAGAGUGUAGAGGCGGCAGGUAGCCUAGUGGUUAGAGUGUAGAGGUGGCAGGUAGCCUAGUGGUUAGAGUGUAGAGCUGGCAGGGUAGCCUAGUGGUUAGAGUGUAGAGGUGGCAGGUAGCCUAGUGGUUAGAGUGUAGAGGUGGCAGGUAGCCUAGUGGUUAGAGU